RNAcentral lists this ribosomal RNA (448 nucleotides) under uncultured bacterium. RNAcentral's name for it is "bacterial SSU rRNA". It matches the Rfam family "Bacterial small subunit ribosomal RNA", at positions 328 to 793 of the family's 1533-position model. The record is from RNAcentral.
CGCCCAGACUCCUACGGGAGGCAGCAGUGGGGGAUAUUGCACAAUGGGGGGAACCCUGAUGCAGCGACGCCGCGUGGGUGAAGGAGUGCUUCGGCAUGUAAAGCCCUAUCGGCAGGGAAGAAGCAGGACGGUACCUGACUAAGAAGCCCCGGCUAACUCCGUGCCAGCAGCCGCGGUAAUACGGAGGAUGCGAGCGUUAUCCGGAUUUAUUGGGUUUAAAGGGUGCGUAGGCGGACUGUUAAGUCAGCGGUAAAGGCCGGGGGCUCAACCCCGGCGAGCCGUUGAAACUGGCUGUCUUGAGAUGUCGAGAGGUAUGCGGAAUGCGCAGUGUAGCGGUGAAAUGCUUAGAUAUUGCGCAGAACUCCGAUUGCGAAGGCAGCGCACCGGCGCCCUACUGACGCUCAGGCACGAAAGCGUGGGUAUCGAACAGGAUUAGAUACCCCGGUAC